GCCGGAGUGGUGGAAUUUGGUAGACACAGGGGACUUAAAAUCCCCCGGGCUUCACGGCCUGUACCGGUUCAAGUCCGGUCUUCGGCA
Molecule: transfer RNA, 87 nt
Filed under: Spirochaetaceae bacterium
Lineage: Bacteria; Pseudomonadati; Spirochaetota; Spirochaetia; Spirochaetales; Spirochaetaceae
Description: tRNA-Leu
Rfam family: tRNA
About the family: Transfer RNA (tRNA) molecules are approximately 80 nucleotides in length. Their secondary structure includes four short double-helical elements and three loops (D, anti-codon, and T loops). Further hydrogen bonds mediate the characteristic L-shaped molecular structure. tRNAs have two regions of fundamental functional importance: the anti-codon, which is responsible for specific mRNA codon recognition, and the 3' end, to which the tRNAs corresponding amino acid is attached (by aminoacyl-tRNA synthetases). tRNAs cope with the degeneracy of the genetic code in two manners: having more than one tRNA (with a specific anti-codon) for a particular amino acid; and 'wobble' base-pairing, i.e. permitting non-standard base-pairing at the 3rd anti-codon position.
Source: RNAcentral